GCUUGUCAAAGCUCGCCGCACGCAUACCAUAGGCUUCUAGAGAUCGGCCCGAUCGGCGGUUGCUGAGGUCGCACCACAUUCCUCCCUUCAUAGAUCGGGGAUGAAUCGGGGCCACUACACCAGAUUCAGAGGCAGAGGAACACACCUUGUUGGAUUACGCGCACAUGCCGACGUAGGAUGUCCGUCGGCUCCAACAACUAAUAUCGCGCAGCUUCCCUUGAUCCUGCUUGGCUGCCGUAUCCUUCAAUGCUAUGGAGCUCUGCGGCUUCCCGAAUCCAGCGAUGGUGGCAAGCAGGGAGAAGAGAGAGAAAGAGGAGAGGAGAAUGAGAAGGGGGCUAGGAUUAGGGGCUUCAGGCCCAUGUGGAGAGGGCUGUCUGCAAAAAUAAAACAAAGGUGCGA
Molecule: long non-coding RNA, 399 nt
Filed under: Sorghum bicolor (sorghum)
Lineage: Eukaryota; Viridiplantae; Streptophyta; Magnoliopsida; Poales; Poaceae
Description: long non-coding RNA (SBIC_LNC009754)
Source: RNAcentral